RNAcentral lists this non-coding RNA (155 nucleotides) under Candidatus Omnitrophota bacterium. RNAcentral's name for it is "6S RNA". It matches the Rfam family "6S / SsrS RNA". Rfam says of the family: E. coli 6S RNA was the first non coding RNA to be sequenced, but its function was unknown until recently. The record is from RNAcentral. Lineage: Bacteria; Pseudomonadati; Candidatus Omnitrophota.
AACACCCUGCUGUGUUUGUUAGAGGGAUAAAAAAUUGAACCUAAAAUGUAAAUCGGGAUGCCAAACAUCUAAAUUGCCCUUGGGCUUUUAGCACGGUACCCACUUGGUGACUGGUUCACCAUUUUAUAUCUUUCGACGGCAUAAGCGGGGUUGUU